Homo sapiens (human) is the source of this 697-nucleotide long non-coding RNA. RefSeq annotates it as TPRG1 antisense RNA 1. NCBI's taxonomy places the organism in Eukaryota, Metazoa, Chordata, Mammalia, Primates, Hominidae. The transcript has 2 exons. The record is from RefSeq and is marked validated.
AUGAUCGCGUUGCUCGAGCUGCCGUUGGAAGCUUAGAAGCAGGUGCUACCGUGCUAGAUACAAAGCGAUCUAUUUAAAAGCCCUCUGUCACGCACGCACACUUACUGACGAAUCCUCUGGCUCUCUCCUACCACCGCCCGGUGGCGGAUUCCGGAAUUGGUUCAAAAGGCCUUGAUCCCGAACACCCAGGACAGAGACAGAGUACUUUUCCUACCUCUUUCGCCUGCAUCCUUAGAAAACUCCCGUGGAUGAGAAGAUCCCCAGGCCUUUACAAGCUGUUGUUUUACAAAAGGAGAAACUGAGGCAGGAAGAGGCGGUGGAUGUGCACCAGAGCACGUGGUGCGUCGGUGCAAUAGCUGAGGGCACAUGGAACAUUCACCAAGAUAAACCAUAUGCUGGAACAUAAAAUUUAUGGAUGUCACCCAUGAAGCAGAGUCCUUCAGACCCUCAAUCAAAAACAAGUCUCAUUUUACAUUAAAUUGGAGGACUAUCUGGAGUCUCUGACCACCGUGUGACAGAAAAGAGAGCAGAAUUGUUGCAUGAUGGGUAACACUCAUCAGUAAUCGCUGUUUGCCAAGCCAUCUGGGAGGAGACCAAAGAGCUAUAAAAUAAGUUCAGGCACGGUGGCUCAUGCCUGUAAUCCCAGCACUUUGGGAGGCCGAGGUGGGUGAAUCACCUGAGGUCAGGAGUUCGAGAC